UGGUGGAGUGAUUUGUCUGGUUAAUUCCGAUAACGAACGAGACCUUAACCUGCUAAAUAGUCACUGGAAACUGCUACAAAAGCAUCGUCGUCCGGCCGAGCUUGAGGGGCAACCCGAGGGCGGAGCUUGGCGGCGGUGUGGUUGUUUCCGAGGAUGCACUUCUUAGAGGGACUUUCAGCUCUGAAGCUGAAGGAAGUUUGAGGCAAUAACA
RNAcentral lists this ribosomal RNA (211 nucleotides) under uncultured eukaryote. RNAcentral's name for it is "partial 18S ribosomal RNA". It matches the Rfam family "Eukaryotic small subunit ribosomal RNA", at positions 1299 to 1458 of the family's 1831-position model. The record is from RNAcentral.